RNAcentral lists this ribosomal RNA (2206 nucleotides) under Salmonella enterica. RNAcentral describes it as "partial 23S ribosomal RNA". It matches the Rfam family "Bacterial large subunit ribosomal RNA", at positions 711 to 2813 of the family's 2925-position model. Lineage: Bacteria; Pseudomonadati; Pseudomonadota; Gammaproteobacteria; Enterobacterales; Enterobacteriaceae. The record is from RNAcentral.
AGACCCGAAACCCGGUGAUCUAGCCAUGGGCAGGUUGAAGGUUGGGUAACACUAACUGGAGGACCGAACCGACUAAUGUUGAAAAAUUAGCGGAUGACCUGUGGCUGGGGGUGAAAGGCCAAUCAAACCGGGAGAUAGCUGGUUCUCCCCGAAAGCUAUUUAGGUAGCGCCUCGUGAAUUCAUCUCCGGGGGUAGAGCACUGUUUCGGCUAGGGGGCCAUCCCGGCUUACCAACCCGAUGCAAACUGCGAAUACCGGAGAAUGUUAUCACGGGAGACACACGGCGGGUGCUAACGUCCGUCGUGAAGAGGGAAACAACCCAGACCGCCAGCUAAGGUCCCAAAGUCAUGGUUAAGUGGGAAACGAUGUGGGAAGGCCCAGACAGCCAGGAUGUUGGCUUAGAAGCAGCCAUCAUUUAAAGAAAGCGUAAUAGCUCACUGGUCGAGUCGGCCUGCGCGGAAGAUGUAACGGGGCUAAACCAUGCACCGAAGCUGCGGCAGCGAACGUAUCACCCAAGACAACUUUACGGAGUUGACGAUUGACGGAGCGAAGCGACGUCAAAGCGUUCAUUAAAGUCGAGUUGGCUUAGGGAUACGUUCGUUGGGUAGGGGAGCGUUCUGUAAGCCUGUGAAGGUGUGUCGUGAGGCAUGCUGGAGGUAUCAGAAGUGCGAAUGCUGACAUAAGUAACGAUAAAGCGGGUGAAAAGCCCGCUCGCCGGAAGACCAAGGGUUCCUGUCCAACGUUAAUCGGGGCAGGGUGAGUCGACCCCUAAGGCGAGGCCGAAAGGCGUAGUCGAUGGGAAACGGGUUAAUAUUCCCGUACUUGGUGUUACUGCGAAGGGGGGACGGAGAAGGCUAUGUUGGCCGGGCGACGGUUGUCCCGGUUUAAGCGUGUAGGUGUGUGUUCCAGGUAAAUCCGGUUCACUUUAACACUGAGGCGUGACGACGAGGCACUACGGUGCUGAAGCAACAAAUGCCCUGCUUCCAGGAAAAGCCUCUAAGCAUCAGGUAACAUCAAAUCGUACCCCAAACCGACACAGGUGGUCAGGUAGAGAAUACCAAGGCGCUUGAGAGAACUCGGGUGAAGGAACUAGGCAAAAUGGUGCCGUAACUUCGGGAGAAGGCACGCUGACACGUAGGUGAAGUGAUUUACUCAUGGAGCUGAAGUCAGUCGAAGAUACCAGCUGGCUGCAACUGUUUAUUAAAAACACAGCACUGUGCAAACACGAAAGUGGACGUAUACGGUGUGACGCCUGCCCGGUGCCGGAAGGUUAAUUGAUGGGGUCAGCGCAAGCGAAGCUCCUGAUCGAAGCCCCGGUAAACGGCGGCCGUAACUAUAACGGUCCUAAGGUAGCGAAAUUCCUUGUCGGGUAAGUUCCGACCUGCACGAAUGGCGUAAUGAUGGCCAGGCUGUCUCCACCCGAGACUCAGUGAAAUUGAACUCGCUGUGAAGAUGCAGUGUACCCGCGGCAAGACGGAAAGACCCCGUGAACCUUUACUAUAGCUUGACACUGAACAUUGAGCCUUGAUGUGUAGGAUAGGUGGGAGGCUUUGAAGUGUGGACGCCAGUCUGCAUGGAGCCGACCUUGAAAUACCACCCUUUAAUGUUUGAUGUUCUAACGUGGACCCGUAAUCCGGGUUGCGGACAGUGUCUGGUGGGUAGUUUGACUGGGGCGGUCUCCUCCUAAAGAGUAACGGAGGAGCACGAAGGUUGGCUAAUCCUGGUCGGACAUCAGGAGGUUAGUGCAAUGGCAUAAGCCAGCUUGACUGCGAGCGUGACGGCGCGAGCAGGUGCGAAAGCAGGUCAUAGUGAUCCGGUGGUUCUGAAUGGAAGGGCCAUCGCUCAACGGAUAAAAGGUACUCCGGGGAUAACAGGCUGAUACCGCCCAAGAGUUCAUAUCGACGGCGGUGUUUGGCACCUCGAUGUCGGCUCAUCACAUCCUGGGGCUGAAGUAGGUCCCAAGGGUAUGGCUGUUCGCCAUUUAAAGUGGUACGCGAGCUGGGUUUAGAACGUCGUGAGACAGUUCGGUCCCUAUCUGCCGUGGGCGCUGGAGAACUGAGGGGGGCUGCUCCUAGUACGAGAGGACCGGAGUGGACGCAUCACUGGUGUUCGGGUUGUCAUGCCAAUGGCACUGCCCGGUAGCUAAAUGCGGAAGAGAUAAGUGCUGAAAGCAUCUAAGCACGAAACUUGCCCCGAGAUGAGUUCUC